GUGUGUGUGUGUGUGUGUGUGUGUGUGUGUGUGUGUGCUGCAUAGAGUCAGAAAAACAUAUCAUUCUGGUUUGUUGUUCUCACGCUCUCUCUCAAUGUGGGGUGUUUUUCUCACCUCCGUCUCAUUGUCAUGCAAAAGUGGCUGCAUUGCCGUGAAAAAUGGUGAACCUCAUCUCACAUGCACAAACUUUUUGCACUCAGUUAAUGUGAGUUGUGUAUUCCUUGUUGCUGUUUUUCUUGCUGGCUUUGUAGAAGUUUCUCCCUGUCUCAGCUGGGUACCAGUCUGAGUUGUGUGUGUGUGUGUGUGUGUGUGUGUGUGUGUGUGUGUGUGUGUGUGUGUGUGUGUGUGUGUGUGUGUGUGUGAGAAAGAAAUGCAUGUCCAAAAUACUACUAUGUAACACAACACAGGUGCAGUUAGAACAACUCCAUCAGACAUAGUAUUAGUAGCACAAUAGUAGUAGAAGUAGGAGUAGAAGUUUCUCCUGAGAGAGAGGAGAAGGAGGAGGAGAAGGUGGAGGACCAUGGGAACGAGGGUGAUGUCCUCCCUCCCCGGAGGACGAGGAGGUGAAGGUGGAGGAGGAGGUGGAGGGUGAUGUCCUCCCUCCCCGGAGGACGAGGAGGUGGACCGUGGGAACGAGGUGAACAAAAGAUCCAUCAAAUUUUGACACAUUGUGGUUAGAUCCUCUCUCGCGCGUGCACCGCAAGUCUGAAAAGACAGCAUCAAUGGAACCCCGAUUCGACGAGUCACCAUGGAAACGGGGAAGCGAAAGGCUUCGUUUUUGAACUGGAAGUUUUUAUGGCGAGUUUGAAGACGUUUUUAGAAAGAAGUGCAACACCGCUGCAGCUGCAAAAGAGAGAGAGACGGCGUGGAGAACACUGCUGCCCGGAUCAAUGAAGCAUGGCUGGACAGCAGCAGGAUGGUUCCUCAGCUUCCGCUGCACAGACUGACACAGUGAGAUGGAUGUUCAGGAAACACCAGAGCUUCAUUCUGUGGAAUCCAUGUGCAACUGUAUAAUUGAAUGUCCUCUAUGUAUUCCCAGUUAUCAGUAAAACAGAUUUACAAACUGCAUUUGCUGAGAAAAAUCCAAAAAACAGAUUAGGAGGGCAGAUCUGGAAAUUGAAAUACUGGAGCACAAGUUAGAGGUGGUGAUGGUCACAGGUGAAUUAUGUUAACUACUGGAACAUGAACUGAACUAUCUUUUAUUUGUAGGAAAUAAAGAAGAGCAAAUGAAA
Long non-coding RNA from Acanthochromis polyacanthus (spiny chromis), 1232 nucleotides. RefSeq lists it as uncharacterized. NCBI's taxonomy places the organism in Eukaryota, Metazoa, Chordata, Actinopteri, Pomacentridae. The transcript has 3 exons. The record is from RefSeq and is a predicted model, not a curated record.